GAUGAACGCUAGCGACAGGCUUAACACAUGCAAGUCGAGGGGCAGCGAGGGCGUAGCAAUACGCCUGUCGGCGACCGGCGCACUGGUGAGUAACACGUAUGCGACCUGCCCCCUACAGGGGUAUAACCCGUAGAAAUGCGGACUAAUCCCCCAUAGUCCUGGGUGCUGCAUGGCAUUCAGGGGAAAGGGUUUCCGGUAGGGGAUGGGCAUGCGGCGCAUUAGCUAGUUGGCGGGGCAACGGCCCACCAAGGCGACGAUGCGUAGGGGUUCUGAGAGGAAGGUCCCCCCACACUGGUACUGAGACACGGACCAGACUCCUACGGGAGGCAGCAGUGAGGAAUAUUGGUCAAUGGGCGCAGGCCUGAACCAGCCAAGUCGCGUGAGGGAGGACGGUCCUACGGAUUGUAAACCUCUUUUGUCGGGGAGUAACGUGCGGGACGCGUCCGUAUUGAGAGUACCCGAAGAAAAAGCAAUCGGCUAACUCCGUG
RNAcentral lists this ribosomal RNA (488 nucleotides) under uncultured bacterium. RNAcentral's name for it is "bacterial SSU rRNA". It matches the Rfam family "Bacterial small subunit ribosomal RNA", at positions 28 to 507 of the family's 1533-position model. The record is from RNAcentral.